Molecule: long non-coding RNA, 611 nt
Filed under: Daphnia pulicaria
Lineage: Eukaryota; Metazoa; Arthropoda; Branchiopoda; Diplostraca; Daphniidae
Description: uncharacterized LOC124314361, transcript variant X1
Source: RNAcentral
AGAAACGUGAUCGUGUGCCCACUCGCUGGUGUCGCUGGUCUAUAUAGAAUAGCUCAAUAGACACUCCAUGCUGUUUAGCAGAUUUGUGGCUGGAGCCAGCUGCCAGCCAUCUUAACCACAAGAUAUGCAAGUUUUGCUUGUGCUGAACCUGUCAUCACCAAAAAUAUCAGUGUCAUCCUUUGGAUAAACAGCAUCCAUCUUUGAUUGAAGAAACUACCGAUCAAGUUACGGAUCUCUCCUUCCCCUUUCUCGAGUGUGGGUGCAGUCACGAGGACACCCUUAUUCCUAUACUUCGUCUAGUGGAUUCAACUAGUCUUCGGAUGGAUGGAGAGCCUUGCUGAAUUCCCCAGGCUUAAAGGUAGGAAACGUUCAUCUCUUUUUUUCCCUUUUGACUGUUUGUGGCGUUGAUUACGGCGGUUAUGAAUCGUGACAUAGUGCGGAGUACCAUUAUUCGUGAGCAAGGCGUUUGAAUGGAACUGUUUUUCUCUUGGCGUUUUUUGUUGACUCAGUUAGAGACUUAGAGUUCAUUAAACAACUCAUUUGUAGAACUACUGUAGAUCAGGCUUGUUUUUUUACCUCACAACUUUGUCUGUGGGCAAACAAUCAAAUUC